GGCUUGACGGCGGGGUUGGGUGCUGCUUCUCUCAGACUGUUCGAGUCGGUGGAAGCCGGUGUGAAUCCGGCACGGUCGCGCCACUGUCACCGGAGCUACCCCAGAGGUGGCACCGGAAGUCAGACCCAUCGCUGGGACAAGUC
RNAcentral lists this non-coding RNA (143 nucleotides) under unidentified. The record is from RNAcentral.